UACAGAAGGUGCGAGCGUUAAUCGGAAUUACUGGGCGUAAAGAGUGCGUAGGUGGUUUAUUAAGUCAGGCGUGAAAUCCACGGGCUCAACCCGUGAACUGCGUUUGAAACUGGUAGACUAGAGUAUGGUAGAGGGAAGUGGAAUUUCAGGUGUAGCGGUGAAAUGCGUAGAUAUCUGAAGGAACACCAGUGGCGAAGGCGACUUCCUGGCCCAAUACUGACACUGAGGCACGAAAGCGUGGGGAUCAAACAGG
This 253-nucleotide ribosomal RNA is filed under the name uncultured bacterium. RNAcentral's name for it is "partial 16S ribosomal RNA". It matches the Rfam family "Bacterial small subunit ribosomal RNA", at positions 524 to 776 of the family's 1533-position model. The record is from RNAcentral.